AGACUUUAGGUCAUUGGUUCAAUGUCUAGGCCAAUCGCAGUGGCGUAAAAUCAAGGCCAAUUACGCUGGCUUGCCCAUACUGACUCUUUGGCAGGUGUCUUGGGCAAUAAAUUCAGCUUUCCAGAUUUCAAAUGCCAUUUUAACUGAGAGAGAAGGAUUACCUCACUCCUUUCCGAUCAGUUUGCUAUACCGAGAUCACCUAGACGCAGCCUGUCGUCUGUCAACUUUGAUUAUGGUCUGAAGGACUGUUUUAAUCAGCCUGUCGCUGUUAGCAAAUCUGAUUGACUCAUGAUCUGGAAUCGUCUUCAACGGCCACGUAGAUUGCACAUGCGGUUAAUUUGUCAAUUUCAAUUAUUUGAAUGAAUUAAUUUUAUUAAGUAAUUAAGUAACCUUAUUUAUUUUGAAUAUUACGAAUUACACAUUUAUGGGGUUUCGACAUGGUCCGAAUAUUCCCUUCCAAUGUUGCUCUUUGAUUAAGCCCAUCGAAAGCUACAAAUUGAUAGAUAACUAAUAGAAAAUCAUUUUCAUGUACACAUACUUAUAUAGUAAAUGUAUUUCUUUGUAUAUUGUGCAUAUUUGUAAUAAUUUGAAUUGUAAUUUAGAAUAAAUGAUUGAGUUACAAUUUUAUCUUCGUUUAUGUCACUUGUUGUAUUGUAGAUAUAGUAAGUUUCGUAUAAGUUCAGGAAGGAUUGUGUUUUCAAUAUUUCAUUGAAUUGUAGAUUUUGCCUUGAUUCGGCAUGGACCCAAAUACUUAUUAAUUGCAAUUUGAACCAUUUUGAAUUUAGAUUUUUAUAUAAUAAAUAUAAUCAUGUUAUCAUUCUUGUGUAGAAAAAAAAACAAUAAAAUGAAUAAAUAAAUGUUCAAAGAAAUGUAUCUUACGUUAGGGAGAGGAAAAGGGUUGUGUUAGGGUUUUUGUGAUAUGAACAUUUGUAUUUCUAAGAUUAUGGCAGUAAUGUUGUCUUACUUAUAAUUUUUUUUUUUCAAUUGUCAUAGAAUUAGAUUAGCAAUUGUUUUGGUGUUUGUUUGUUUGUACAAAAACGUUUUUUUAUAAAUGCACUGAUUUGUUUGUAUUUGAGCAAGAUGACUUGAAAGUCAGCAUGAAGCUGUUGAGUUUCAAUAAAUUUAUUUCUGCACUGAAAA
This is a long non-coding RNA of Strongylocentrotus purpuratus (purple sea urchin), 1140 nucleotides long. RefSeq lists it as uncharacterized. Lineage: Eukaryota; Metazoa; Echinodermata; Echinoidea; Camarodonta; Strongylocentrotidae. The transcript is spliced from 2 exons. The record is from RefSeq and is a predicted model, not a curated record.